CGUGCCUAAUACAUGCAAGUCGAGCGCGGGAAGCAAACUGAAUCCCUUCGGGGAUGACGAUUGUGGAACGAGCGGCGGAUGGGUGAGUAACACAUGGGCAACCUGCCUGUAAGAUUGGGAUAACUCGCGGAAAACGUGAAGCUAAAUACCAAAUAAUCCUUUACAUUUCCUGAUGUUUAGGUAAAAGGCGGCAUUUUGCUGUCACUUACAGAUGGGCCCGUGGCGCAUUAGCUAGUUGGUGGGAUAAAAGCCUACCAAGGCAACAAUGCGUAGCCGACCUGAGAGGGUGAUCGGCCACACUGGGACUGAGACACGGCCCAGACUCCUACGGGAGGCAGCAGUAGGGAAUCUUCCGCAAUGGACGCAAGUCUGACGGAGCAAAACCGCCGCGUGAGUGACGAAGGUCUUCGGAUCGUAAAACUCUGUUGUUAGGGAAGAAUAAGUAUCGUUCGAAUAGGGCGGUACCUUGACGGUACCUAACCAGAAAGCCCCGGCUAACUACGUGCCAGCAGCCGC
This 516-nucleotide ribosomal RNA is filed under the name uncultured bacterium. Its description in RNAcentral is "bacterial SSU rRNA". It matches the Rfam family "Bacterial small subunit ribosomal RNA", at positions 43 to 518 of the family's 1533-position model. The record is from RNAcentral.